UACGAAGGGGGCUAGCGUUGCUCGGAAUCACUGGGCGUAAAGGGUGCGUAGGCGGGUCUUUAAGUCAGGGGUGAAAUCCUGGAGCUCAACUCCAGAACUGCCCUUGAUACUGAGGAUCUUGAGUUCGGGAGAGGUGAGUGGAACUGCGAGUGUAGAGGUGAAAUUCGUAGAUAUUCGCAAGAACACCAGUGGCGAAGGCGGCUCACUGGCCCGAUACUGACGCUGAGGUGCGAAAGCGUGGGGAGCAAACAGGG
RNAcentral lists this ribosomal RNA (254 nucleotides) under uncultured bacterium. RNAcentral describes it as "partial 16S ribosomal RNA". It matches the Rfam family "Bacterial small subunit ribosomal RNA", at positions 524 to 777 of the family's 1533-position model. The record is from RNAcentral.